RNAcentral lists this unclassified non-coding RNA (737 nucleotides) under Hevea brasiliensis (rubber tree). The record is from RNAcentral. Lineage: Eukaryota; Viridiplantae; Streptophyta; Magnoliopsida; Malpighiales; Euphorbiaceae.
AGGUGUGGGGUGUGGGGUGUGGGGGAUAUUGCAUUGAAAUCCACAAAACAGCACAAAAACUAACCAAUCCAUGAGCUUCUCUUUUUAACCAUUAACCACACAUAUCAUUUUCCUUUGAUUUCUCCUUGGUUCUUGGCCUUAGUACACUUUUUCCAAGAUUUCAUAUUUUUUUUGUUUUUGUUUUGAUGAACAAGAAUCUAGGGGUGGGUGAUUGAAAAGGGGACAACCCCACUUGGUUAAUAUACUUUCUCAAUCAUCCUUCCUUUUCUUCUUCUCCAUAUUUUCCCUUUUCUUUCAUAUAUCAAGAUUUGAUUUUUCCAAGAAAAGAGCUUGGUGCACAAAAAGUUGGUAUUUUGAUUAAAAGGGGUCUUUGUAUCUGGACUCAUCUCCUCUUUUUUUUCAUUAUUGAGGGAUUUUUCCAGGUGUCAGAGACCCAUAUCAGAUCUGUGUACAAAAAAAAAAUCCAUUCUUUAAUGUGCAUAUGGAUUCUUGAUGUGGGAAUAUCCAUUUUAGAACAACCCUUCUGUUUGUAUGCACAUAAAUAGAGGGUAAUCUUCUAUUUUCCCCAUUAGCUAUUUUAUGUGAACACAAUUAUCCAUUGUUUCCAUUUUCCUUAAAAGGGUAUAUAGUUAUAGAGUUUGUUUAGUCAGUCUUGUUAGAGUUUUGGCGAGGCCCACAGUUUGUUUUGGUGGGCUUCGUCAAGCUAAUAGAAGUAUAAUAUCUGUAUUUUGUUGAGG